RNAcentral lists this ribosomal RNA (253 nucleotides) under uncultured bacterium. RNAcentral's name for it is "partial 16S ribosomal RNA". It matches the Rfam family "Bacterial small subunit ribosomal RNA", at positions 524 to 776 of the family's 1533-position model. The record is from RNAcentral.
UACGAAGAGUGCAAGCGUUGUUCGGAAUUACUGGGCGUAAAGGGCUCGUGGGCGGCCAACUAAGUCGGAUGUGAAAUCCCCAGGCUUAACCUGGGAACUGCAUCCGAUACUGGAUGGCUUGAAUCCGGGAGAGGGAUGCAGAAUUCCAGGUGUAGCGGUGAAAUGCGUAGAUAUCUGGAGGAAUACCGGUGGCGAAGGCGGCAUCCUGGACCGGCAUUGACGCUGAGGAGCGAAAGCUAGGGGAGCAAACGGG